RNAcentral lists this long non-coding RNA (411 nucleotides) under Homo sapiens (human). RNAcentral's name for it is "HSALNT0321621". The record is from RNAcentral. Lineage: Eukaryota; Metazoa; Chordata; Mammalia; Primates; Hominidae.
GUUCUUGUCUGACUGUCUUAUUUCAGAAAGGCAGCCAUCAAGCUCUGAGAUUCUUUCCUCCACUUGGUCUAUUCUGCUACUAAUACUUCUCAGCCCAGUUCAGAACUCCUGUUGGAGAGAUGAUUCAGCUGUUUGCAGGAAAAAAGGCCCUCUGACUUUGAUUGUGAAGGAAGAGAGAAAUGUGGAAGAGAAGAGGAAGCAGAAGAAAAGAAAAGGAAUCAAGAUCUUACACUACCUGAAAAGCCUAAAAUAUUUACCUUUAUACAAAUCUUUCCCUUUGUAGAAAAAUUUUGACAAUCCCUGCUCUAGAGAGAGGAAGAAAACUCCAAGGAUUUACCAGGUUUCUGAAGGUAAACUACUGAGGAACAAAACCACUAAUAAAAUUCCUGCAAGAAUAAUGUAUUUUUUGAG